GAAUCUUGCACAAUGGGGGCAACCCUGAUGCAGCGAUGCCGCGUGAGUGAAGAAGGCCUUCGGGAUGUAAAGCUCUUUCGACUGGGAAGAAGGGUUUUUGAGUGAACAAUUCAAGAACUUGACGGUACCUAAAGAAGAAGCACCGGCUAACUCCGUGCCAGCAGCCGCGGUAAUACGGAGGGUGCAAGCGUUGUUCGGAAUUACUGGGCGUAAAGAGCACGUAGGCGGGCUCGUAAGUCGAUUGUGAAAGCCCCGGGCUCAAUCCGGGAAUUGCAGUCGAAACUACGAGUCUUGAAUGCCCAAGAGGGUGAGGGAAUUCCUGGUGUAGAAGUGAAAUUCGUAGAUAUCAGGAGGAACACCGGAGGCGAAGGCGCUUACCUGGUGGUGCAUUGACGCUGAGGUGCGAAAGCGUGGGGAGCAAA
Molecule: ribosomal RNA, 422 nt
Filed under: uncultured bacterium
Lineage: Bacteria
Description: bacterial SSU rRNA
Rfam family: Bacterial small subunit ribosomal RNA
Source: RNAcentral